This 253-nucleotide ribosomal RNA is filed under the name uncultured bacterium. RNAcentral's name for it is "partial 16S ribosomal RNA". It matches the Rfam family "Bacterial small subunit ribosomal RNA", at positions 524 to 776 of the family's 1533-position model. The record is from RNAcentral.
UACGUAGGGGGCUAGCGUUGUCCGGAAUCAUUGGGCGUAAAGAGCGUGUAGGCGGCCAGAAAAGUCCGCUGUGAAAACUCGGGGCUCAACCUCGAGCUGUCGGUGGAAACUUUCUGGCUAGAGUCCGGAAGAGGAGAAUGGAAUUCCUGGUGUAGCGGUGAAAUGCGCAGAUAUCAGGAAGAACACCCGUGGCGAAGGCGGUUCUCUGGGACGGUACUGACGCUGAGACGCGAAAGCGUGGGGAGCGAACAGG